CGGAAUCAACCCCAAAGCAAGCCCAGGCCUCCGCCGCUAUCAGACCCGUCAUUAGGAAACAUCGAAAGCCUCAAAACGCCCGAGAACGGAGGCUGGCGGGUUCGGCGAGCCCUGUUGACUCAAGACAGUCUGCGACGGAAGACAAGCAGACCACGGGAAAAUGCGUUUGUGCAGACGGAGGGGAGAGCGACACAGCAACCCAGCGAGCGUCCUGUCCAAACAGCCUCUGGGGAAAGCCGGGAGGUCAUGCGCCCAAGGAAAAUCGUUUCUGUGCAGGUGGCAGACGUAGCCACACCUCCCAUCCCUGGGCCCUCAGCUCCUGAAACACCAGCCACUGGUGUCACAGCCAAGACACACCAUGGUGGUCAUUCCACAGACCCUCUGAGAGCCCCUCAUGCAUGGACCCCAUUCUCACAGGAAGGGUUCCCAUAAGGGCACUGCCGCUUCCUCCACACAAACCCUACGGAGGAGCCCUGGGUCUGUCCCUCCUGGCGUCAUAGGGAUGGUCAAGAGAUCCGGAGGAAGCGGACGACCUCACGUGGAAUGGGGAGACAGCCAGGGAGCUCUCUAGAUGAAGACAAAUGUGCCUUGCAAAUGGUCCCAGAAGACUCCAGAAGGAUCUUUUCUCCAAGAUGUAGAGAACCAGAGAAGGAAGCCCCGCGACACGUCUUCGCAGUCGUCCACCUACGGGAGAGUGUUGGCUUGCCGGUGAAAACCCUGGAGAAACGUGCUCCAAGCCUCCCCUGGGGUCCGUCGACUUGGCACAAUCACGGCGCUUGGAACGACAACUGAGGAUUCUUCACGGUACCCCAAACCGCAGUCCUGGGCUCACACUGGGGGCUCACACUGGGGUUUGGGCCCAUGGCUUCAUACAGUAGGAACGUCCUACCUUAGUGGGAGCCCAGGACAGGACCCCGAGAGGCAUCUUGCCUUUGUGCAUCUGGAGAACCUUUCUCAAAGUCUUGCUACAGGUAGGUUGACCAGAAAGCCUGUGAAACGGCAGGGAAGACCAUGUUUCUAAA
Lutra lutra (Eurasian river otter) is the source of this 1022-nucleotide long non-coding RNA. RefSeq lists it as uncharacterized. The transcript has 4 exons. NCBI's taxonomy places the organism in Eukaryota, Metazoa, Chordata, Mammalia, Carnivora, Mustelidae. The record is from RefSeq and is a predicted model, not a curated record.